This 424-nucleotide ribosomal RNA is filed under the name Verrucomicrobiota bacterium. RNAcentral describes it as "Verrucomicrobia bacterium partial 16S ribosomal RNA". It matches the Rfam family "Bacterial small subunit ribosomal RNA", at positions 355 to 776 of the family's 1533-position model. Lineage: Bacteria; Pseudomonadati; Verrucomicrobiota. The record is from RNAcentral.
UGAGGAAUAUUGGUCAAUGGGCGAGAGCCUGAACCAGCCAAGUAGCGUGCAGGAUGACGGCCCUAUGGGUUGUAAACUGCUUUUAUGUGGGGAUAAAGUGCGUGACGUGUCAUGCAUUGCAGGUACCACAUGAAUAAGGACCGGCUAAUUCCGUGCCAGCAGCCGCGGUAAUACGGAAGGUUCGGGCGUUAUCCGGAUUUAUUGGGUUUAAAGGGAGCGUAGGCCGUUUGGUAAGCGUGUUGUGAAAUGUAGGAGCUCAACUUCUAGAUUGCAGCGCGAACUGUCAGACUUGAGUGCGCACAACGUAGGCGGAAUUCAUGGUGUAGCGGUGAAAUGCUGAGAUAUCAUGAAGAACUCCGAUUGCGAAGGCAGCUUACGGGAGCGCAACUGACGCUGAAGCUCGAAGGUGCGGGUAUCGAACAGG